This 200-nucleotide non-coding RNA is filed under the name Bacillus sp. (in: firmicutes). Its description in RNAcentral is "Bacillus sp. T-box sequence". It matches the Rfam family "T-box leader". Rfam says of the family: Uncharged tRNA acts as the effector for transcription antitermination of genes in the T-box leader family. T-boxes are found upstream of many aminoacyl-tRNA synthetase genes and some amino acid biosynthetic genes usually in Gram-positive bacteria. The anticodon of a specific tRNA base pairs to a specifier sequence within the T-box motif, and the NCCA acceptor tail of the tRNA base pairs to a conserved bulge in the T-box antiterminator hairpin. Lineage: Bacteria; Bacillati; Bacillota; Bacilli; Caryophanales; Bacillaceae. The record is from RNAcentral.
UUUCAAGUAUUGAAGAGAUUGCAGUAGUGUUAUCAUUCCCUGUCAAGAGAGCUAGCGUGUGGUGAGAGCUAGUCAUAAUGUAUAACAUGAAUUACGUUCUUGGAGCUUGGACGUUUACGUCGCGUUAAGACGGAUGAGAGGAAGAGUAAUGCUCUUCAAGCUGGGUGGUACCGCGUUAUUUUUACGAUAGCGUCCCUGCA